Thalassophryne amazonica is the source of this 162-nucleotide long non-coding RNA. RefSeq lists it as uncharacterized. The transcript has 3 exons. The record is from RefSeq and is a predicted model, not a curated record. NCBI's taxonomy places the organism in Eukaryota, Metazoa, Chordata, Actinopteri, Batrachoidiformes, Batrachoididae.
UGAUAUGAUUUUUUUUUUUGACUGGGAUGAGACUCAGCACCUCCAAAUCUGAGACUAUGGUCCUCUCUCAGAAAAGGGUAGAUUGUCCCAUCUGGGGUAGAAGAGAGCUAUUGCCCCAAGUAGAGGAGUUCAGGUAUCUCAUGGUCUUGUUCACAAGUGGGG